This 468-nucleotide ribosomal RNA is filed under the name uncultured bacterium. RNAcentral's name for it is "partial 16S ribosomal RNA". It matches the Rfam family "Bacterial small subunit ribosomal RNA", at positions 28 to 507 of the family's 1533-position model. The record is from RNAcentral.
GACGAACGCUGGCGGCGUGCUUAACACAUGCAAGUCGAACGGAAAGGCCCUGCUUUUGUGGGGUGCUCGAGUGGCGAACGGGUGAGUAACACGUGAGUAACCUGCCCUUGACUUUGGGAUAACUUCAGGAAACUGGGGCUAAUACCGGAUAGGAGCUCCUGCUGCAUGGUGGGGGUUGGAAAGUUUCGGCGGUUGGGGAUGGACUCGCGGCUUAUCAGCUUGUUGGUGGGGUAGUGGCUUACCAAGGCUUUGACGGGUAGCCGGCCUGAGAGGGUGACCGGCCAAAUUGGGACUUAGAUACGGCCCAGACUCCUACGGGAGGCAGCAGUGGGGAAUAAUGCACAAUGGGCGGAAGCCUGAUGCAGCAACGCCGCGUGCGGGAUGACGGCCUUCGGGUUGUAAACCGCUUUCGCCUGUGACGAAGCGUGAGUGACGGUAAUGGGUAAAGAAGCACCGGCUAACUACGUG